Hyaena hyaena (striped hyena) is the source of this 2570-nucleotide RNA transcript. It is a transcript of the gene named alkB homolog 3, alpha-ketoglutarate dependent dioxygenase, with no coding region annotated. Lineage: Eukaryota; Metazoa; Chordata; Mammalia; Carnivora; Hyaenidae. The record is from RefSeq and is a predicted model, not a curated record. The transcript is spliced from 12 exons.
CGCCGCGGCCCGUGGUUGCGGGUUGCUGGAGCUGGUGCUCUGCUCUUCAGGUUCCCCGGCCGCAGGCGGCGGAGCUGCCCCGGGACAGCGGGGUUCGCGUCGGCACCGAGCAGAUACCAUUGUGUGGUCUUAAUCAGGAAUGAAGUGUUCUGAAAGCAAAGAGCAGAAGCCUGUUUGAUGGACAUGGAAGACAAAAGACGGCGAGCACGUGUGCAGGGAGCCUGGGCUGGCCCUGCUAAGAGCCAGGCCGCCGCUCAGCCAGCCACCACGGCAAAGAGCCAUCUCCACCAAAGGCAUGGUCAGACCUGGACAAACAAGGAGCAUCAUCUUUUGGACACACAGUUUGUGUUCAGAGAACCCCAGGAGGUAGUACGCAGAGUCCCAGAGCCACGAGUGAUUGACAAAGAAGGUGUGUAUGAUAUCAGCGUGUCACCCACAGGUGUGUCUAGGGUGUGUUUGUAUCCUGGCUUUGUUGACCUAAAAGAAGCUGACUGGGUAUUAGAACAACUUUGUGAGGUUGUUCCCUGGAAACAGAGGACCGGCAUCAGAGAGGAUGUUACUUACAAGCAACCAAGACUUACAGCAUGGUAUGGAGAACUUCCUUACACUUACUCAAGAAUCACUAUGGAACCAAAUUCGCACUGGCAUCCCGUGCUGCUCACGCUGAAGGACCAGAUUGAAAAGAACACCGGCCACACCUUCAACUCCUUGCUCUGUAACCUUUACCGAAAUGAGAAAGACAGUGUCGACUGGCACAGUGAUGAUGAACCUGCGCUCGGGAGAUGUCCCAUCAUUGCUUCGCUGAGUUUUGGUGCCACACGCACUUUUGAGAUGAGAAGGAAGCCCCCACCAGAAGAGAAUGGAGACUACACCUAUGUGGAAAGAGUGAAGAUACCCUUGGAUCAUGGGACCUUGUUAAUCAUGGAAGGAGCUACACAAGCCGACUGGCAGCAUCGAGUGCCCAAAGAGUACCACUCCAGAGAACCGAGAAUAAACCUGACCUUCCGGACGGUUUAUCCAGACCCCAGAGGGGCGCGCUGGUGACAGGCGGUCUUUGCGAGGAGCUGUGCUGAGACUGAGCUGAGAUUCCCGCCCUGAAGAGACUUCCAGAGGCCGGUCCAGCUGCUCUCACGGUGCAGCUGCUUGGAGGGCAAAUUAAAACCUGCUGUGGCCGUACCCAUGGGUGAUUCUGUCCAUAAGCCAUUUUUCUCCUGCCCUCCCUGCUUCACUGGAAGAAACGUGAAUGCGCUUUGCCUCUGGCGUAGAUCCGCACAUGUUCGUUCCUUGUGACUUGGUGAAGUGGAGCCACAAAUAUGUGUCACUGACUCUGGAGCCCCCGCAGGCCCACAGCUGCGGAGACCCAAACAGAGGUGGCUUCUCAGCCUUGUGGAAGGCUGCCGUGACUCCUCAGCAUCUUGGCUUGUGUGCUUUGUCAUGGAAAGCUGCCUGCUCUGGGAGCACUUUAUUUACCAGAGCCUCCUUCCUGGGACACAGACAGGUUACAGGCCUCUGAGUGAAGAGUGGAGGCUGUGUUAUCUCGCCCAGCCGUCUUCGGGCAGCCGCCUGCAUACUUAUAACAUGAGAGAAAACCAUCCCUCAGAGGGAGAAGUAGGGGCCUAUGAUGACAACCUUCUUCUGACUCAGUGCUCUCUCAGACACAAGUUCCUGAGAUCCAGCCCUUAGUCCGUGAUGUCACCAGAGUUCCGAAAACAGGACAGAGUGGCUGCCAUCUAUUGCAUCAUAAAGUCACGUGUCUUCUUGACCUGUUGUUGACUCAGGAGCACUGUGCCAGAUUGAUUCCAAACCGAGAUAUGGAGAACUUGAGAGAAAGAAAAUGGAUUCAAGUGGAUGAAAACAGGGCAAGAGAAUUAAGCUAGUUUCCCUAGCUCCCUGUGGGGAAAAUUUACAGAGCCUUGUUGCUUUUGAUCUUGUUUCCAUUCCAUGCUCUAAGAUUUAUGGCCUCUGUGAUCACAGUGAAGUCCCAAAGGCUGGUCAGGCCCUUCCCUAGAGCUCAGAUGUAACACCAGGCCUGACCAGGCCCUGUUCUCCGACAAGCUUUCUGGCUUCUUGCGUUGGGGUUCUCCCACCGCGUUCUUUAAAUGUUUCACAUAUGGAUAGCUCCUUUUUGUAAGAAACACCAAGUGCUUUAUAAAAUGUGAGCAUUAUAACGUGCUUUUCAGUGAGGGAGGGAGAUACAAAUCACCAUAAAAAUAAAAUAAAACCCCUGAUCCCUAGCUGGUUUCUUACUAAACAAAAUCUGGCCAGGGCGGUACAGCCGGCUUCGGUGUGGAGUUUGAUGCAUGCCACUGGGAAAUUCCUCUUCCAGUCCUACAAAUGAAAGAGCUGGCAGAUGGUUCCCAGUCUUAUGGCAUCCCUCCUAAUGUAGGGUCAUGAUCUCCCCUUGCGUCAGCUGCAGAUUUGAUCUCUUCACUCAUCACUGCCAUGUCUGUCAGGGUAAUGAAUUUCUGCUCGACAGCUGACAGCCUGGCCCACCACCUGGGCGUCUUCAUCUGAGAGCACAGGUCUUAGCUUUUGUUUCUUGCUGUCCAGUGCUAGACCUGCCUUUUCUC